Molecule: unclassified non-coding RNA, 498 nt
Filed under: uncultured Glomus
Lineage: Eukaryota; Fungi; Glomeromycota; Glomeromycetes; Glomerales; Glomeraceae
Description: SSU rRNA
Rfam family: Eukaryotic small subunit ribosomal RNA
Source: RNAcentral
CCAAUAGCGUAUAUUAAAGUUGUUGCAGUUAAAAAGCUCGUAGUUGAAUUUCGGGAUUAGUACGCUGGUCGUGCCUUCGGUAUGUACUGGUGUUACUGGUUCCUACCUUCUGACGAACCGUCAUGUCAUUAAUUUGGUGUGGCGGGAAAUCAGGACUGUUACUUUGAAAAAAUUAGAGUGUUUAAAGCAGGCUCGCGCUUGAAUACAUUAGCAUGGAAUAAUGAAAUAGGACGUUCGAUCCUAUUUUGUUGGUUUCUAGGAUUGACGUAAUGAUUAAUAGGGAGAGUUGGGGGCAUUAGUAUUCAAUUGUCAGAGGGGAAAUUCUUGGAAUUAUUGAAGACUAACUACUGCGAAAGCAGUUGCCAAGGAUGUUUUCAUUAAUCAAGAACGAAAGUUAGGGGAUCGAAGACGAUCAGAUACCGUCGUAGUCUUAACCAUAAACUAUGCCGACUAGGGAUCGGAUGAUGUUAUUUUUAAUGACUCAUUCGGCGCCUUACG